This is a small nuclear RNA of Oryctolagus cuniculus (rabbit), 107 nucleotides long. The record is from Ensembl. NCBI's taxonomy places the organism in Eukaryota, Metazoa, Chordata, Mammalia, Lagomorpha, Leporidae.
GUGGUCACUUUGGCAGCACAUAUACAAAAAUUGGAGUGAUACAGAGAAGAUUAGUAUGGACCCUGCUCAAGGAUGGCACACAAAUUCGUGUCGUGUUCCAUAUUUUU